CAACCUCAGAUUCUGGAGCUGGUGUUCUGGCUGAUCAACAAAUGCCAGGACACUGAGUCACCUCCAGCUGGACGCAUGCCCAGGAACACGUGAGGAACCCAGGCCACUACCAGCCACUGUCAGCUGAGACCAGCCUGGGUCACCUUCCCCUGUCCUGCUCAGAGGCAGACCGAAACCUGACAAGCAUGUUUUCACCAACCUGAGAGUUUCGGCCUCUCUUUGGGGACUGUUUGUGUUUCAGGUCACGCUGUCAGCUGCCCCCACCCUCAUCUUUCCUCUGCCAAAGUGACAUUCCCCUGGCUGCCAGGCUUCCAGGAACCUGGCGGUUCCUGUCCUGAGCUGCCCAGUGGGAAUCUCCUUUUCCGAUUCCAGGAACUUCAAUAUCCUCUGUUACAUUUCAGAACCUCAUCAUAGCCCAGCAAAUGGGAGGUGCAGCCUUCAUCUUACAGACACAAGGCCCAGCAAGGGACGGCAACUUGCCCAAGGUCACACAGCAAGUUAGGGGCUAGGAUAACCCGAAAACUGACCCCCAGUCCAGCAUCCACUUCAUCCACCCUCCAAACUCAACCGCCAGACAGGGAUCAGACCUGCAGCAAUCCCUCCAUUCAUUCAUUAACAAACACAGAAACUUAACUGGCACCAGCUACAGAGGGUUGGCCUUUGACCAAACCCUGCCCAUUGCCUGUUUUUGUAAAUAAAAUUUUGCUGGAACACAGCCACUCCCAUCCAUCUGCGUUUGUAGUCCACCCUUAUCCACAGUUUCCCUUUCCGCGCUUUCAGUAUCACAGAGGCAUUUUAUCAUCUUACACUAUCACGAGACGAGGAAAGACACCAUGGAUACCAAAAUGCACCAUUUUUCCAAGGCUUAUGCUCCAUCCAGAUGGUCAAUGCCUUACAGAUUUACAGUUUGGAGUCUCUCAAUUGCAGCCCAGAGGCACUCAUGGUUUUCAUUGCAGGACUCUGUAUUUUCAGGUUAUGGAAAAGGUACAGAGAUAUAACACAGCUGAUCUAAUCUGUUGUUCAUGGACAUCUCCUCCAGCCCAGCGCUGAGAAAAGUUUCACACGUUUUAUCAACAGGCUAAUUUUGUUGAGGAGGGAACAGUGGGCCAAAGAAGUCAAGUGAUCUAAGAGCCCAGUCCAGGAGUUAGCUUGAGUUUGAAACCUGCUUCCACCAUCAGAGGUAUCACUGUGUGAGUUUAAUCUCUGUGCCUUGGUUCUAUAAAAUGAUAUUCUACUCACACCUGUAAAAUGAGAAUAACAGUUCCUCUUUCAGUGCUGUGAUAAUUCAGUAAAAUAAGUAUGUGUAAAGUAGCUAACAUUUCAUCUGGCCCAAAUAUUUCCAGUUCAGCUCUGGGACUUCCAUCUUCAUAUUCUUUGUAGUUUGAAUUUCCCAUAAGCAUAAGAUCCAGUAGUCAACACAAACCUUUGCCCAAUAGCUCUUAAGCUUCAGCCUCAGG
Molecule: long non-coding RNA, 1457 nt
Organism: Manis pentadactyla (Chinese pangolin)
Lineage: Eukaryota; Metazoa; Chordata; Mammalia; Pholidota; Manidae
Exons: 3
Source: RefSeq, a predicted model, not a curated record